Long non-coding RNA from Mus musculus (house mouse), 128 nucleotides. RefSeq annotates it as predicted gene, 30880. The record is from RefSeq and is a predicted model, not a curated record. The transcript has 3 exons. NCBI's taxonomy places the organism in Eukaryota, Metazoa, Chordata, Mammalia, Rodentia, Muridae.
CUCACAAGAGCCUCUGAAGUGGAUUUUAUUGCCUGCGCUUUGCUGGCGAUGGCUGACUCGGAGAGCUGAUCUGCCGACAAAAAAAAACUUAACUGCUUCAACAUUGCUGUCAUUCCACUUCAGGCCCG